RNAcentral lists this ribosomal RNA (484 nucleotides) under Vibrio sp. 7JAN2-E-2. RNAcentral's name for it is "bacterial SSU rRNA". It matches the Rfam family "Bacterial small subunit ribosomal RNA", at positions 337 to 813 of the family's 1533-position model. The record is from RNAcentral. Lineage: Bacteria; Pseudomonadati; Pseudomonadota; Gammaproteobacteria; Vibrionales; Vibrionaceae.
UCCUACGGGAGGCAGCAGUGGGGAAUAUUGCACAAUGGGCGCAAGCCUGAUGCAGCCAUGCCGCGUGUGUGAAGAAGGCCUUCGGGUUGUAAAGCACUUUCAGUCGUGAGGAAGGUAGUUACGUUAAUAGCGUAAUUAUUUGACGUUAGCGACAGAAGAAGCACCGGCUAACUCCGUGCCAGCAGCCGCGGUAAUACGGAGGGUGCGAGCGUUAAUCGGAAUUACUGGGCGUAAAGCGCAUGCAGGUGGUUUGUUAAGUCAGAUGUGAAAGCCCGGGGCUCAACCUCGGAAUUGCAUUUGAAACUGGCAGACUAGAGUACUGUAGAGGGGGGUAGAAUUUCAGGUGUAGCGGUGAAAUGCGUAGAGAUCUGAAGGAAUACCGGUGGCGAAGGCGGCCCCCUGGACAGAUACUGACACUCAGAUGCGAAAGCGUGGGGAGCAAACAGGAUUAGAUACCCUGGUAGUCCACGCCGUAAACGAUGUC